Amphimedon queenslandica is the source of this 863-nucleotide long non-coding RNA. RefSeq lists it as uncharacterized. The transcript is spliced from 3 exons. The record is from RefSeq and is a predicted model, not a curated record. NCBI's taxonomy places the organism in Eukaryota, Metazoa, Porifera, Demospongiae, Haplosclerida, Niphatidae.
AUUGUUAAGAUGGCAUUGUCAGUAUCAUUGGUGAUUUUCCUCUUCUUGUUGAGUGUCAGUGAAGUUAUUAGUCAAUGUCCACCUUCCUCAGGUAUCUACCUGAUGCAUGGUGGAAACUGUUAUUCUAAUGGAUCCUAUUUUUGGGAUGUUAGCAUCAGACCAACUCCUCUAGAGUGUGUAUUACCUGGUGCUACUCUGAAUGGUGGACAAUGGAUUGGUCCUAAUGGAGUAGUUCCUUGUGAUGGUGGUAGCAAUGCAAAUGUUCAAUGUACCACUGGGUCAGGCGCUAGUCUCAGUGUUUUCAUAAAUCCAACUAAUGGCUAUCUUGAAGCACAUGGUGAUGGCUGGUACAAGUGUUGUCUACCCACUAAUUGUUCUGAUCCUAACACUAACAUCAUCUUUGCUAAUAUAUUCAGUAAAAUUAUGCUGAACAACUCUCUUGAAGCAAGUUAUUUUUUUAUUUGUAUAUAGGUUUUGCGUGGAUAGAAGCAUUUUUUACUGCUAAUCUUCCUUCAGAUAUGACAGUGUAUCCUCAGGAAUACAAACUGAAUUGUAUUAAAGUUGGACACUGGCACUAUGGUAUUAGCAUGAGCAUUGGUAACACUGCACUGGCUAGUUACACUGGAUGUUAUGAUCGUAGUAACCCUUGUCCUGGUACUGUGUUAGUUAGUAGUACAUACACAGUAAGAUAUAGUGUUGAUAUCAUAUGGGAUGGAAUGACUGUCAGUAGUGGAUCAAUCAGUCAAUCAACCACUGGAGAUCAAAUGUAUCAGUGUGUACUGGAUAACAUUAAUGAUGGUGUUGAUAGAACACGUGAUUUAACCAUAAAAGUACCAGCAGCUGCUCCCUCUUCUCUUACUGAG